Molecule: ribosomal RNA, 292 nt
Filed under: uncultured bacterium
Lineage: Bacteria
Description: partial 16S ribosomal RNA
Rfam family: Bacterial small subunit ribosomal RNA
Source: RNAcentral
GUGCCAGCCGCCGCGGUAAUACAGAGGCCUCGAGCGUUGCGCGGAAUCACUGGGCUUAAAGGGUGCGUAGGUGGAUGUGCAAGUGCCUUGUGAAAUCCCCGGGCUCAACCCGGGAACUGCUUGGUAGACUGCACGUCUUGAGGUCGGUAGGGGUCGCUGGAACAGUUGGUGGAGCGGUGAAAUGCGUAGAUAUCAACUGGAACGCCAAAGGCGAAGGCAAGCGACUGGGCCGAUUCUGACACUGAGGCACGAAAGCGUGGGGAGCAAACGGGAUUAGAUACCCGCGUAGUCC